Molecule: ribosomal RNA, 494 nt
Filed under: uncultured bacterium
Lineage: Bacteria
Description: partial 16S ribosomal RNA
Rfam family: Bacterial small subunit ribosomal RNA
Source: RNAcentral
GACGAACGCUGGCGGCGUGCUUAACACAUGCAAGUCGAACGGUGAAGCGCCUUCCUUUUUGGUUGGUGUGGAUGAGUGGCGAACGGGUGAGUAACACGUGAGUAACCUGCCCCCUUCUUCUGGAUAACCGCAUGAAAGUGUGGCUAAUACGGGAUACUCUGGGUCUGUCGCAUGAUGGGUCUGGGAAAGAUAUUGUUUCGGUGGGGGAUGGGCUCGCGGCCUAUCAGCUUGUUGGUGGGGUGAUGGCCUACCAAGGCGGUGACGGGUAGCCGGCCUGAGAGGGUGGACGGUCACACUGGGACUGAGACACGGACCAGACUCCUACGGGAGGCAGCAGUGGGGAAUAUUGCACAAUGGGCGCAAGCCUGAUGCAGCGACGCCGCGUGAGGGAUGGAGGCCGUCGGGUUGUGAACCUCUUUCGCCAGUGAAGCAGGCCUGCCUCGUUUGUGGGUGGGUUGACGGUAGCUGGACAAGAAGCGCCGGCUAACUACGUG